Molecule: ribosomal RNA, 253 nt
Filed under: uncultured bacterium
Lineage: Bacteria
Description: partial 16S ribosomal RNA
Rfam family: Bacterial small subunit ribosomal RNA
Source: RNAcentral
UACGAAGGGUGCAAGCGUUAAUCGGAAUUACUGGGCGUAAAGCGUGCGUAGGCGGUUCGUUAAGUCUGAUGUGAAAGCCCUGGGCUCAACCUGGGAAUGGCAUUGGAUACUGGCGGGCUAGAGUGCGGUAGAGGGGUGCGGAAUUCCCGGUGUAGCGGUGAAAUUCGUAGAGAGCGGGAGGAAAAUCUGAGGCGAAGGGGGCACCCUGGACCAGCACUGACGCUGAGGCACGAAAGCGUGGGGAGCAAACAGG